UAGGACUGAAAUGCAACUAGGCUGUCAUAAGCUCAAGAUGCACUUAAAGCCACCUUUAAAAUGAUCCUAGCAUCUCUGAUUAAUUUAACUCCACGAAAGCUAGGGCACAAACUGGGAUUAGAUACCCCAUUAUGCCUAGCCCUAAAUCUCGAUGUUUACUGUACCAAAACAUCCGCCUGAGAACUACGAGCACAAACGCUUAAAACUCUAAGGACUUGGCGGUGCCCCAAACCCACCUAGAGGAGCCUGUUCUGUAAUCGAUAACCCACGAUCCACCCGACCACCCCUCGCCAAAGCAGCCUACAUACCGCCGUCGCCAGCCCACCUCCACCUGAGAGCCCCACAGUGAGCAUAAUAGCUCAAACCCGCUAAUAAGACAGGUCAAGGUAUAGCCUAUGGGGUGGAAGAAAUGGGCUACAUUUUCUACAAUAGAAAAUCCACGGAAGAGGGUAUGAAACACAGCCCUCGGAAGGCGGAUUUAGCAGUAAAGCGGGACAAUAGAGCCCUCUUUAAGCUGGCCCUGAGGCACGUACAUACCGCCCGUCACCCUCC
RNAcentral lists this ribosomal RNA (552 nucleotides) under Synthliboramphus antiquus (ancient murrelet). RNAcentral describes it as "partial 12S ribosomal RNA". It matches the Rfam family "Bacterial small subunit ribosomal RNA", at positions 657 to 1405 of the family's 1533-position model. The record is from RNAcentral. Lineage: Eukaryota; Metazoa; Chordata; Aves; Charadriiformes; Alcidae.